GACCCCUGAAGAAUAAAGAAAAGUCUACAAAUGUUACAAAUCAAAAGAAAGCACUUAGAAUUUCAUUAUAUUGAAACUAGAAGAGAUCCCUCCACCCUCCAAAACCUCCUAGUCCAACCUCUCUGCUCUAGAGGAAAUAAAGAGAUGUAACAAAGGGAAGAAGCUUACUUACCAGAGGGAAUAUAGUGAGUUUAGUGGCCUGGGUGAUGUUAGAACACAAGUUUUCUAAUCAUCUACUGUCUCUCUUUCUCUCUUAGUAGGCACUAUCCAGUAGCACUUUCGGUAAUGCUGGAAUUGUUCUAUGUCUGUGCCGGCCAAGAUGGUAGCCACUAUCCACAUGUGGCUAUUAAGGACUUGAAAUGUGGCCAGUACAACCGAGGCAAUGCAUUUUUAAUUUAAUUUAAUUUUAAUUAAUUUCAAUUUAAGUAGACACAUAUGGUUAGUGGGUACUGUAUUGGAUAACACAGUUCUGGAAUAUGCCAGCUAGGUCAAGGAAAAUAAAACCAGUAACAUCAAAUAAUUUUCUAUUAAACUGGAAGAUCUUGAAUUACCUGAUAGUAACCUUUCAGGACAGGGAUAACAAAGAAAGAAGGAAAUACGAUAUGCUUGGUUUCAGUUAAUGGAAAACAACAACAACAAUUCAAGCUACGAUGCAUAAUAAAGAAGAUGAAUGAUUUCUUUUUUAUAAUUUUUUUUGUUACGUUUAUUUUUGAGAGAGACAGAGACUGAGUGGGGGAGAGGCAAAGAAAAAGAGGGAGACACAGAAUCCAAAGCAGGCUCCAAGCUGUCAAUAGAGAGACUGACGCGGUGCUCGAAUUCAUGAACCAUGAGAUCCUGAGUGGAAGUUGGACACUUAAUCCACUGAGCCACCCAGGCGUCCCAAAAAUGAAUGAUUUCUUAAAGGUUGAGAGUUCACAGUAGCGCAUCCUACGGCAGGCUCUCCACAAUGGAUCAAGCAUAGCUGCCCACAGCUGUCUCAGUUAUGAGCUUCUCCAUCCACAUAAUGGCAACGGAAAGAACUGUUUUGAUUUCUGUCAGAUGAGCAAGGAAGAUUCUUUUUCAGCUUCCACUAGCAAACCACUUCUCGUAUGGCUUUAAUUUAACUUGGGUCACUUACUGCUCCUGGUAAUCAAUGACUUGAGCCAGGUACCUGGCUUGGCCGAGGGAAAAAAGAUCAUAUUGCUAGGCUUAGAGCCACACCACACUCUCCACGCCCAAAUCAAGAAAGAAAUCAGUUUCUGCCAGAAAAGAUGCAUGGAGUGAGAGUACCCCAAUCCAUCCACAUCUGAUUGGAUCAGGAAAAUAAAACACCUAACUCAAAUAAGCAUCAACCAUAGUUUGGCCACAGAUCUGGAAAUGAAGAGAAAAGUGCAAUUUCCAGAAGUUCCGAGAUCCAGUCUUAUAGCCAUGCUUGGAGCCCAGAGAUUGGCGCUUAGAUAUUCAAGUAUUUGUUGAAGGAAUGAAUGAGUGAAUGAAUGAACAGAGGCUUCGUGACUUCAAGAGACCUCAGUGUAGGAGACUUUCACUCUAUGUCUUGCUUUCACCAAUUAUACUACAGAUACUUGUC
Felis catus (domestic cat) is the source of this 1567-nucleotide long non-coding RNA. RefSeq lists it as uncharacterized. The record is from RefSeq and is a predicted model, not a curated record. NCBI's taxonomy places the organism in Eukaryota, Metazoa, Chordata, Mammalia, Carnivora, Felidae. The transcript is spliced from 4 exons.